Molecule: long non-coding RNA, 597 nt
Organism: Protopterus annectens (West African lungfish)
Lineage: Eukaryota; Metazoa; Chordata; Ceratodontiformes; Protopteridae
Exons: 2
Source: RefSeq, a predicted model, not a curated record
GGCUUACAAGACUGCCCAGACAAUGUAGACCAGUCUGCCUUCCAGCACAUCUUUCUUCUCCUCCAGCUGCGGUUCAGGCCACAUUGGCAACAGUAACUACAACACUUUUAUGGACAACUUAAUAUAGCCAAUCAAGCAGCAUGUUUCUGCGAAGUAAAAAAGAAAACAGAAUACCUAGAGGAAUCCCAUACAGACUCAGGGAGAACAUACAAAGCUCCACAUAUACAGUGACUGUAGGUCAGGACUGAACCCUACAGAAGUGGGACAGAGAUUUUACAAUGAACGCAUCAUGCUCCCCAAAGAUUAUAGACCAAAAGUGGUCUAACGUGUAUAUUUCCAAGGUCUAUACAUGCUGUGUGCAUAGAAAAUCUCAGCAUUACGUGCAAAAUAGUAAAAACAUGCAUAUUGAUUUGUUGUGCUUUUUCAGUUUGUCAUGGACUUGUACACCUGAAUUGCAUACACCUGUAUUUGUUUUCUUCUAACUUUGACCUAUUUUUAUAUGUAAAACAUUAUGAACUGAUAAUUAAUGCUUCUCGAAUGCAUAUGUAAUUCUCACACUUGCAUUAAAUCUAAUCCAGGGAAGAGUUAGGCACCAUA